Molecule: long non-coding RNA, 984 nt
Organism: Mauremys reevesii (Reeves's turtle)
Lineage: Eukaryota; Metazoa; Chordata; Testudines; Geoemydidae
Exons: 3
Source: RefSeq, a predicted model, not a curated record
GGGGCAGUUGGGAAUGGGUCAUAAGGACAUGAGUAUGGGUCAGUAUAGGGUGAUUAUUUUUAAUGGCACCUGAGAGAGAGUCUUGUCCUCUCCUCUGAAAAUAGUGCACAGGAGGACUGGGGUGAGGGCCUCUCUUCAGUCCAUGAAGGGACUGGAAUCAAGAUGUUUGGUGGUGCUGUGACAAUUAGUGAACUGAGGGUUACGAGGCAGCUGGUGAAACACAGGAGAGGAACAAUGUCCUGGGAUUGAAACUGAGGUGAAAAAGAGAGAGAAUAAAGGAGGAAACCAACUGAAUCAGGAAGAAAGGGGGAGCAGAGAAAGAAAAGCAGACAGUGAAAUGCACCUGAAGACAGGGUGUGCGCCUGACUACGCUCUUGCACUGUCCUGGAAGUGCGUGCCUCUUAGCUAUGGUUUUGGAGAUACCCCCAGCACUUAGAUCAGGAGUGACUGUAGCUGGACUUAUUCCCAUAGCAAUCUGCCUCCUAGUAUUUAGAACAUCAUUUUUCCUUGAACAAAGGCUAGUUCCUGAAGAAAACGCCAGUUCACAUCCUGUGUUGCCCUGGAGCAGGACCAAUGCUCAUCAACAUCUCCCUGUGGAAGUCAGUUGUCAUUCUCCAUUCACAAGUGCCUGGGCUACUGGCAAACAGAGGACACAGCAUGGGAACAGCAGCAGCAAGACUCCCUCAACAUACAGAACUGCAGUGAUCGGGGACCUUGCAAAGAAUGAAAAUAGCACCGUAGAGGGGAAAUCGCAUGGGGCCAGCUGCUUCCCUUUAACCCUCUUACCAAGCUGCAGAGUGCUCGAGCCUGACAGGAGCCCAGAAGCUGAAACUCGGCUAACUGGACGGGCUGGGGCACUUAGACUCAUGAUACUGAAGCACUCGGAUUUAUAUGCAGAAGGAUAUGAAAAAUAGUGCACCAAACUUUUAAAACUCUCCAAACCAGGCUGUAUAGAAAAGGCAUGUCAUAAACAGAAUAAAGGAG